AGUUCAAGGAGGUUUGCAGCCUCACGGUGCCCUUGGAUCUUUGCAACAGUCCCUUGAAAAUGGUAGAAUCUGGAUGCUUUUAUACAGAUGCAUUUAUUAGGUUUAAUAAACAUAUUACUUUUUCAGGCAUCACGUCUUUCAAACAGACGUUUUUGUUGAUCAACAUACAAUAAAGCUUUUUAAGAGUUUAUAUAAUCUACACUAAAUCUUUCACAAAAGCUAGGAGUAGAAUAUAAUAGCACCAAUUACUUUAAUUUUCUCUUUACCAUAGGGCAAGAGUAAAUACCCUGCAUUUUUACAGUGCUUUAUACUUGGCCAGAAAAAACCAAACCUACAUUUAAUUCCCAAUAUAAUAGGCUCAUCCAGCAACCUUUUGAGGUGAGGGAAACAAGACUUAUUAUCUCAAGUUUACAGGUUGAGGAAAUAAAGGCUUAUAUAAGCAAAAUAAUUUGUUCAGAGUUGCAAAUACCUGGUAGAUAGCAGAGGUAGAGUUUGAUUAAAGUUUCCGACUUUUAAAAUGACAGAACUCAAUUUCUUUCUUAAAAUUAUGCUUUUUUGACAUAGAUACAGAAAGACAAGUGCCUACAUAUGGUCCUCCUCAAACUCUGCCAUUCACCAUCCAUUUUUCUCAUGUCCUGCAGGAAAGGAUCCCCCACCCCACGUCGCCACACAACUUUUUGACUCAUAUUUCUCACUCUUCUCUCCAGUUGCUUCCAUGGGAGCAGAGAGGCUGACCACAGUCUUGGGCAGCUCCAGUGGGCCUGGCGUGGCACUGCGCACAGAGCUGAGUGGGUCUGGCAGGUGGCAGAAUGUGACCUCACCUAAUGAGUAGGAAGGGAGGGCUUCCUGGACAAUUUCUCACGUUCUCAGAAUAAAUGAGAAUGAGGGCUGGGCAUGGUGGUUCACACCUGUAAUCCCAGCACUUUGGGAGGCUGAGGUGGGUAGAUUGCUUGAGCCCAGGAGUUCAAGACCUAUACAAAUAAUAAGAAUAAUUUAAAAAGCCAGGCAUGGUGGCACACACCUGUAAUCCCAUCUACUCAGAAGGCUGAGGCAGGAGGGUCACUUGAGCCCGGAGGUCAAGGCUACAGUGAGCCAUGAUUACACCAAUGCACUCAGCCUGAGCAACAGAAUGAGACUCUGUCCAAAAAAAAAAAAGAAAAAAAAGAAAAGAAAAAAGCUGGGCACAGUGGCUCACGCUUGUAAUCCCAGCAAUUUGUGAGGCUGAGGUGAGAGGAUUGCUUGAGUCCAGGAGUUCGAGACCGUACUGGACAACAUAGUGAGGCCCUGGCUCUAUGAAAAAUACAAAAACUUAGCCAGGUGUGAUGGUACGUACUUGUAAUCCCAGCUGCCUGGGGGGCUGUGGUGGGAGGAUCACCUGAGCCUAGGAGAUCAAGGCUUCAAUAAGCAGAGAAGGUACUGCUGUACUCCAGCCUGGGUGACACAGCAAAUCCCUGUGUCAGAAAGGAAAUGAAAGGAAAGAAAAGGAAAGGAAAGGGAAGGGAAGGGAAAAAAUGAGAGUAGCCACAUGAUUCUGUCAUUUAAAUCUCACAGGGUAACAGAAGCAAAUCAUCAGUGCCUGUCUUUGAACUUGAUGAAACUGUCUCAGCCUCAUGACCUGUGGUACUAGACAGAGACCACAACACCUUGUCUAUCCAGAGUGUGGGAGCACUGUGUGCAGUUAGCUCCUGGAGGCUUGUCCUCAGUAGGCUUAGGGCAUGAGGAGCCCUGGAAAGCCCAGGACCCCAUGGAGGGCCCUGGAGAAACAGCACCUGUGGCUGAGGGGUUCACAGGCCCAGCGAGAUCCACUCAGGUGAGGUCACCUGUAGAGGUCAUGCUGCGGAGUCCCGAGUCCCUGAUUAUAUUCAAGACGUGGAGCUCUCUUUUUCCCGUCCUGCUUUCUUUCCAGAAGUGCCUCAGAUGCAUCCUCCCCUUCUCUUUUCUCCACAUGAAGACGUCACUGACCAUCUUCUCUGGUUUGCUUUCCAACACCGAGCACCAAGUGCUUCAAAGGUCAUGGUGCCCUGGGGCCGAGAGCUACUUAUGUGGGCAUUUAUAACCAAAUAAAUAUUGAAAUGGCCCACAAAGCAAAUGUUAGUGGUAACCAACAGCGGUAAAACUGGGUACAUGGGACCCUGAACCUUCUUGAAUAUUCCCCAUGAGACCCUGGGCCGACCUUCGGGCUUUCCAGUGUGCUCAGAAAAUCCUCCGUGGCUCCCAGCCCCAGCUUAGUCUUUCAACGGUCCUCGGACUGAAGCAAGAGACAGGGAAGGAAUUGUCCAAGGUUUUCCAGCAUGCUGAGAACACUUACCAUGGUGGAGCCUGGCACGUACUGGCUCUUUGAUGCAUGUGUAUUGGUCUCAAGUAGCCAGAAGCAUCUCCUCUGAGAGCCCUUGCCCUCCAGUUUAAAUGGCAAAUGGAAGGGAAUGGGUUCUGGAAGGCCCCAGGUGGGCUGGGGUGGGUUCUGGAGACCAUCUUCCAACUCCUGUUCAGGAGGAGGGUUGGUCAGAUCAGCUCUGUGGCCACCUGGGCUCUGGAGGGGCGAGAUACGGGCAGGUGCGGCCACAGGAGGGAGAGCACCAUGUGCGGGGGAAGCCCACAGCUGGAACCAAAAGGCCCCAGGAGGGAUCCUGGCUCUGACAUCUCCCAGCCGUGUGGCCUUGGGCAAGGUCCCUGACUUGGACCUCAGCCUCCUCAUCUGUAAAACAGGCAGAACAGUAAUACCGACCUUGUAGGUUGUAUAGAGUUCAUAUACAUCAAGCACUUACCACAGUGCCUGGCGGACCGCAUGCCCUAAACACACAAUCCGUGAAAUGAAUCCAUCAGCAAGCAGCUGCUAGGGGCAGUGUGGGGCAGAGAGGCAGCUGCCUGCUGGAACUGGCUGACAGGAGGAUGAGUGUGUGGCAGGAGGAACGCUCUGCACAGAGGACACUAGGUAGCGUCACCUGUCUCUUACCCUGUGUCUCCACUGGAAUGGAAUGUCAGACUCGCACCAUGCAUUCCUUUCCCUGCCAAAACGCCUCCUCUUAGCAGUGAGCAAGAAAGUUGUUCGAGUGGAUGAAGCCAAAAGCCCAUUUGGCAAGAGUGCUGUUUUGGAAAAUGCUUAGCGGUGUGGGUUGGGAUGAGGUUUUCUGUGCCUUUCCAUUAUUUCUUCAGCUUCAUGUAACCCUGACUGAGCAAUGCUCAGCAGAGUGAAGGCUGGGCAGCAGAUGGACAAGAUUUUCUCAAACUCCUUUUUAAGCCAAUUUCAAAAUAGAGAGAGGGAAAAAUCCUUGUUUUCUCUUUUCGGUUUUGAGAGGUUUCAUAUGCAGACACAAUUUUAAAUUUUAUUUUUUUUGCCCCCAAUGAGAUGUUUGGAGAUGGUGGUACUAGAACAGGAAGGAAUUUAUAAGUAUUGGGGAAUUUUUCAUCCCAAUUCCCAUAUCCUCCUAUAAUUCAAGGAGUGAAUGGGUAGUGUUUUUGUUUUUGUGAGAGGGGUGGCGGAGGGUAGAGAGAGAAAGAGAGAGAGACAGAGAGAGAUUACAUAGAGGUGUCCAAAAUGAACACAGUAAAAACCAGUUUUGAUUAAUUCUGCAAUAUUAAGUAGGCAGCCAAAAAUUUUGGUCUGCUUAAUUCUUAGCUCAUCUAAGUCUCCAGUUGACUGAUUGAUUGAUUGAAUGACUUAUUCAACAUGCGCUAGCCAGACACUGGUCUAGGGCCCAGGAAUUCAGCAAUAAAUGAAACAAGACCAA
This 3728-nucleotide long non-coding RNA is filed under the name Homo sapiens (human). RNAcentral describes it as "HSALNT0273825". The record is from RNAcentral. Lineage: Eukaryota; Metazoa; Chordata; Mammalia; Primates; Hominidae.